UCUCGAAUGCAUAGACCCUGACACCAACUCUCCCUCAUGGAUGCUUACUUGUUUGCUUGUUUGUUUUCAUUUCUUCUUGUUUCUCCUUAAUUGCAUUCUUCCUCAUUUUCCCCAGAUCGUCUAUUAUUUUUUCAUUAUCUUCCUCUGCUUCUUCAUCCUACCAUUCCAGCCAGUGGAGCUCUAAUAUACCAACAGAUAACAUAAGAGAUCAAUGCUCACUGUCAAGAUGCUGUUUAAACUUGAGCUGAACCUUCUUCUCAAAUGUAAAGCAUCUCAAAGUCCUGUGGAAUUUCAUCUCUAGUUUCCCGGGCAACUAUCACACGUCAGUCAUGGAUGUUCCGAAGCACACAGGUAAUAUUCCAUCUCAUCACCUCAAUUUUAAAUCUGGAGAAAGACAAAUGAAAUGGGUGCCGAUAAAUCCUCAAGGCUGCAGAGAUAAAAGAAAAGAAUGAAAAUCCAGGAGGCAAAGGCAAGUAAACAAUCCACUCUGCAAUCUAAUCUCCCU
This 505-nucleotide long non-coding RNA is filed under the name Mustela putorius furo (domestic ferret). RNAcentral's name for it is "lncRNA (ENSMPUG00000026837.1)". The record is from RNAcentral. Lineage: Eukaryota; Metazoa; Chordata; Mammalia; Carnivora; Mustelidae.